CCUGAUAGCUUAGUUGGUUAAGAAUUUGCCUGCAAUGCAGGAGCCCCAGGUUAGAUUCCUGGAUCAGGA
Molecule: non-coding RNA, 69 nt
Organism: Bos taurus (domestic cattle)
Lineage: Eukaryota; Metazoa; Chordata; Mammalia; Artiodactyla; Bovidae
Source: Rfam